Molecule: long non-coding RNA, 1273 nt
Filed under: Olea europaea subsp. europaea
Lineage: Eukaryota; Viridiplantae; Streptophyta; Magnoliopsida; Lamiales; Oleaceae
Source: RNAcentral
AAUAAGAGAAAGAAGCAAUCCAAACACUCUUCCUCCUCCCCCUCCCCAAUCCCUAGCCCCGAUUCGAUUCCUCUCUGAGCAAAAUGAAGAAAAACCCCAACCCCUGCAGUCGCCUGAAAUCCAUUUCAUUUGCAAGAUAUUUUUCACCAUUCGAAUUGGACAGCCCAUAACAACGCCACAAAGAACCAUAUACCUGAAAUCCGAUUCACAACCCAUUUCGACUCAGGUUCUGCUAUGGGUGUCUUGACGCUCAGCUCAAACCCAAACACUCUCGGUAAUCCUCAAAUCCCCAAAAUUCCAUUUCAUGUGUGAAUAGUGAGUGGUUUAACGUUUAGGAAAGAGCCCUAACAUUAAAUCCGUUGGAAGCAUUUCAUUUGUUUGCAAAGUAAGGACUUUUGAUCCUGCUCGUUGAAAUUGAAUUGAGGUUUGCAUUUAAUUUGUUUGCAAAUUAGUCAUUUUUUUCGAGUUAAUUUUACCAAAUGAGCUGCAAAAUGAAAUGCGUUGCUGCUGGUGCGAAUUAAAUGAACUCGCGAUUUAAGCAUAAUGACUUGUAUGAAUUAAGCCUAAUGACAUGGAGUUCAUAUGUCUUUCCACGAAUAGUGAUAAAUUUGUUUGGAUUUAUUUCUUACCUAUCCAUUUUACAUCAGAAUGCCAGGGAGAAAUAGGGGUAUUUGUCAUAGCUGUAGGCUGCUUGGCCACAUGUUGCCGGAAUUCCCAACAAAGACACGAUGCCGAAAAUGUGGAUUGGGAUUUGUGAAAUGUAUGGAGGUUGAAAAAAAAGAUAGAGAACAUAUGUCGAUUAUUCAAAUGUUGUACUAGAGAUUGUGGUUAUUUUAAGUGGAUCAAUGAUCCAUCAUCGUCGCAAGAAACACCUCUGCAAUAUGACAGCGAGUCAAGUGCAAAAUUGAAGACAAAAGACCCACUUGAAGAUUUGUCAUCCAUGUUGAAGACUGUCGUCCAGUUAAUAGAAGAACAACAAUUGGAGAUAUCCAUUAACAUAACGAUUCGUAAGGGAAAAGGAGCUACCAAGGACAAUGGGAAAGGAAAGGGAAAAGUUUCGUAAUUUGUUCUCAACUAUGUAAUGGAAUAAAAGUUUGGCAUUGUAGUUUUGAAAUGUAAUGCUUAUGUAAUUAGAAGUAGUAGUUGCAAUGUCCUUUAAGGCAUCAAGACUUGGAUGCGAUUUUGUAGUAGCUCCAUUAUUUAUUAAUGCUAUGUUGUAGCAACUCAAUUAUUUCUUAACGAAAGUAGUUCCCUCCAAUCUUGUAUGUAUUCU